CCCAACCCAAUGUGACGUUACCAAACUGUUGCCUCGGCGGGAUCUCUGCCCCGGGUGCGUCGCAGCCCCGGACCAAGGCGCCCGCCGGAGGACCAACCUAAAACUCUUAUUGUAUACCCCCUCGCGGGUUUUUUUUAUAAUCUGAGCCUUCUCGGCGCCUCUCGUAGGCGUUUCGAAAAUGAAUCAAAACUUUCAACAACGGAUCUCUUGGUUCUGGCAUCGAUGAAGAACGCAGCGAAAUGCGAUAAGUAAUGUGAAUUGCAGAAUUCAGUGAAUCAUCGAAUCUUUGAACGCACAUUGCGCCCGCCAGUAUUCUGGCGGGCAUGCCUGUCCGAGCGUCAUUUCAACCCUCGAACCCCUCCGGGGGGUCGGCGUUGGGGAUCGGCCCUCCCUUAGCGGGUGGCCGUCUCCGAAAUACAGUGGCGGUCUCGCCGCAGCCUCUCCUGCGCAGUAGUUUGCACACUCGCAUCGGGAGCGCGGCGCGUCCACAGCCGUUAAACACCCAACUUCUGAAAUGUUGACCUCGGAUCAGGUAGGAAUACCCGCUGAACUUAAGCAUAUCA
Molecule: ribosomal RNA, 563 nt
Filed under: Trichoderma harzianum
Lineage: Eukaryota; Fungi; Ascomycota; Sordariomycetes; Hypocreales; Hypocreaceae
Description: eukaryotic LSU rRNA
Rfam family: 5.8S ribosomal RNA (bases 188-341)
Source: RNAcentral